AAACUAUUGUAGUAAAGUAUUACAAAAUUUUCUUUUUCCAUUUCCUUUACAAUGUCUACUUAUUUCUAUGGCUAACAGAUUUUGUAACAUUUGUAUUUUUUACAGUCUUACCAUUGCUUGUAAGCUGGAUUGGGUAAAAUGGAUCAUCUUUAAAGGCACCAGGAGUUAAGGCAGAUGUGGAGGCACAACGGGUGAUACCAGACACACACCAAGCACAUUAUGUUCGGACAUUCAAUCAUGACAGGAUCCAGGUGGAUGCUGUCCAUUGAGAAAAGAGUUUGUUCAGCGGUUUCUGGAUAGAAUUAAUUCCAAAGAUGGGAAAAAGUGCACAUCCAGACAAGGAGCAAGCAAAAAGACAAGGAACUUGGUGCAGAGAAAAGCUGUGGCCAUUAACCCCCAUGUGAACAGCUUCAUGCAGUCCCUGAUUGAGUUCGAAUGGACGACUUCAAAGUAAAGGCCACUGUGGUCUGUCUGCCACAGUUUAAUGCAUUUAUUUUUAGUGUUAAAUGAAAUUCAAGUAGAAUAUUUAAAACUAUGGGCCAGUGUUGUUUUUACCACAGUGAAAUGUUACCUUUUAGUUGAUGAUGGACUUUAAACUGAAAACUUCAAACUAUGGAACAGUGUUCUAUUUGCCAGAGUUAAAUAUGUUACAGCAGGGGU
Long non-coding RNA from Paramisgurnus dabryanus, 660 nucleotides. RefSeq lists it as uncharacterized. NCBI's taxonomy places the organism in Eukaryota, Metazoa, Chordata, Actinopteri, Cypriniformes, Cobitidae. The record is from RefSeq and is a predicted model, not a curated record.